This 199-nucleotide unclassified non-coding RNA is filed under the name fungal sp. RNAcentral's name for it is "partial internal transcribed spacer region". The stretch from base 1 to 46 matches the Rfam family "Eukaryotic small subunit ribosomal RNA", at positions 1786 to 1831 of the family's 1831-position model. The record is from RNAcentral. Lineage: Eukaryota; Fungi.
AAGUCGUAACAAGGUUUCCGUAGGUGAACCUGCGGAAGGAUCAUCAACAAAUCAAACUGUUGGCUUGCCAACAAAUACCAAUGUGAAUUGGGAAGGGUUUUACUCUUCUCUGGGCCAUUUUUGGCCAAGUAAACUUAAACCAGAGUCGGAUAAAUUAUAUAAAUAUAAACAACUUUUAACAAUGGAUCUCUUGGUUCUU